RNAcentral lists this ribosomal RNA (472 nucleotides) under uncultured bacterium. RNAcentral describes it as "SSU rRNA". It matches the Rfam family "Bacterial small subunit ribosomal RNA", at positions 26 to 518 of the family's 1533-position model. The record is from RNAcentral.
AGAACGAACGCUGGCGGCAGGCUUAACACAUGCAAGUCGAACGCGUGUAGCAAUACACGAGUGGCGCACGGGUGAGUAACGCGUGGAUAUCUGCCUUUUGGUUCGGAAUAACCCCGGGAAACUGGGGCUAAUACCGGAUGGUUCCUACGGGAUAAAGAUUUAUCGCCAAAAAGAUGAGUCCGCGUACGAUUAGCUAGUUGGUGAGGUAAUGGCUCACCAAGGCGACGAUCGUUAGCUGGUCUGAGAGGACGAUCAGCCACACUGGGACUGAGACACGGCCCAGACUCCUACGGGUGGCAGCAGUCGAGAAUUUUCUCAAUGGGGGAAACCCUGAAGGAGCGACGCCGCGUGGAGGAUGAAGGUCUUCGGAUUGUAAACUCCUGUCAUUGGGGAACAAGUCGCUUACGUUAACUGCGUGAGCGUUGAUAGUACCCGAAGAGGAAGAGACGGCUAACUCUGUGCCAGCAGCCGC